Molecule: microRNA precursor, 67 nt
Organism: Oreochromis aureus
Lineage: Eukaryota; Metazoa; Chordata; Actinopteri; Cichliformes; Cichlidae
Source: Ensembl
CGUCCAGCCCGUCCUCCUGCAUGUUGCAGGAGAAGGCUCUGAAAGCAUGCAUCAGCGGACUGGCGCA